This 254-nucleotide ribosomal RNA is filed under the name uncultured bacterium. RNAcentral's name for it is "partial 16S ribosomal RNA". It matches the Rfam family "Bacterial small subunit ribosomal RNA", at positions 524 to 776 of the family's 1533-position model. The record is from RNAcentral.
UACGAAGGGGGCUAGCGUUGCUCGGAAUCACUGGGCGUAAAGCGCACGUAGGCGGCUUCUUAAGUCAGGGGUGAAAUCCUGGAGCUCAACUCCAGAACUGCCUUUGAUACUGAGGAGCUUGAGUCCGGGAGAGGUGAGUGGAACUCCCGAGUGUAGAGGUGAAAUUCGUAGAUAUUCGGAAGAACACCAGUGGCGAAGGCGGCUCACUGGCCCGGUACUGACGCUGAGGUGCGAAAGCGUGGGGAGCAAACAGG